GGGUGAGUAACACGUAGGUAACCUGCCCCGGAGCGGGGGAUAACAUUUGGAAACAGAUGCUAAUACCGCAUAACAACAAAAGCUGCAUGGCUUUUGUUUGAAAGAUGGCUUUGGCUAUCACUCUGGGAUGGACCUGCGGUGCAUUAGCUAGUUGGUAAGGUAACGGCUUACCAAGGCGAUGAUGCAUAGCCGAGUUGAGAGACUGAUCGGCCACAAUGGAACUGAGACACGGUCCAUACUCCUACGGGAGGCAGCAGUAGGGAAUCUUCCACAAUGGGCGCAAGCCUGAUGGAGCAACACCGCGUGAGUGAAGAAGGGUUUCGGCUCGUAAAGCUCUGUUGUUGGAGAAGAACGUGCGUGAGAGUAACUGUUCACGCAGUGACGGUAUCCAACCAGAAAGUCACGGCUAACUACGUGCCAGCAGCCGCGGUAAUACGUAGGUGGCAAGCGUUAUCCGGAUUUAUUGGGCGUAAAGCGAGCGCAGGCGGUUGCUUAGGUCUGAUGUGAAAGCCUUCGGCUUAACCGAAGAAGUGCAUCGGAAACCGGGCGACUUGAGUGCAGAAGAGGACAGUGGAACUCCAUGUGUAGCGGUGGAAUGCGUAGAUAUAUGGAAGAACACCAGUGGCGAAGGCGGCUGUCUGGUCUGCAACUGACGCUGAGGCUCGAAAGCAUGGGUAGCGGACAGGAUUAGAUACCCUGGUAGUCCAUGCCGUAAACGAUGAGUGCUAGGUGUUGGA
RNAcentral lists this ribosomal RNA (737 nucleotides) under uncultured bacterium. RNAcentral describes it as "bacterial SSU rRNA". It matches the Rfam family "Bacterial small subunit ribosomal RNA", at positions 104 to 827 of the family's 1533-position model. The record is from RNAcentral.